Molecule: unclassified non-coding RNA, 366 nt
Filed under: Hevea brasiliensis (rubber tree)
Lineage: Eukaryota; Viridiplantae; Streptophyta; Magnoliopsida; Malpighiales; Euphorbiaceae
Source: RNAcentral
UCAGCAGCCAAACUAAUAUCACACCUUACAAUAACGAAAAAAUAAUAUCUGCACAAAGCUUCACAUUGAGUCAUUAACAGCAUGAACCCGAAAAUUUAUAUGCACCCGGGGGUACGGGGGUCGCGCUCCAGGAAUCAAAGAAGGAUUUGCAGUUUUUUUAAGUUUUUUUAAAGCAGCAGAAUAAUUAAUUGGAGAGAGAGAGAUGUACACCAAAGUUUCAGGAUUUCAAUCUCAGAUCCACAAUGCUAAUGGUCACUAUAAUAGACAGAGAAAUCAAAUAUAAAAUUACACAUAGAAACUUUAUAUAAGUAUAAAACGAAACCUAACAAUGCCAAUGAAACCAAAACCAAGAUGAUACAGAACGAC